AAGUCGUAACAAGGUUUCCGUAGGUGAACCUGCGGAAGGAUCAUUAGUGAUAUAGAAAAUCUAUUUUCUAGUCUCUAUAUACACCCUUUUGUCAACUUAUACCUUUGUCGCUUCCACUGGACAGAUGGAUACGCCUAGUUGCGAGUCCAUCCUCUGGCCUCUUUACCGAGGACGGGGAGUGCCAGUGGAAAGAAUACAAUUAAAACUUUGUCUUUAGAAAACUUGUCUGACAAUUAUAUUUUUUAAUAAAAUAAAACUUUCAACAACGGAUCUCUAGGCUCUU
This 283-nucleotide unclassified non-coding RNA is filed under the name fungal sp. Its description in RNAcentral is "partial internal transcribed spacer region". The stretch from base 1 to 46 matches the Rfam family "Eukaryotic small subunit ribosomal RNA", at positions 1786 to 1831 of the family's 1831-position model. The record is from RNAcentral. Lineage: Eukaryota; Fungi.